Molecule: unclassified non-coding RNA, 253 nt
Filed under: uncultured Sphingomonadaceae bacterium
Lineage: Bacteria; Pseudomonadati; Pseudomonadota; Alphaproteobacteria; Sphingomonadales; Sphingomonadaceae
Description: contains 16S-23S intergenic spacer region
Rfam family: Bacterial small subunit ribosomal RNA
Source: RNAcentral
UACGGAGGGAGCUAGCGUUGUUCGGAAUUACUGGGCGUAAAGCGCACGUAGGCGGCUUUUUAAGUCAGGGGUGAAAUCCCGGGGCUCAACCCCGGAACUGCCCUUGAAACUGGGAAGCUAGAAUCUUGGAGAGGCGAGUGGAAUUCCGAGUGUAGAGGUGAAAUUCGUAGAUAUUCGGAAGAACACCAGUGGCGAAGGCGACUCGCUGGACAAGUAUUGACGCUGAGGUGCGAAAGUGUGGGGAUCAAACAGG